AACCAUAGAAACCUGCGGAGUACCUGCGGCAGGAUCAUUACCGAGUUUACAACUCCCAAACCCCUGUGAACAUACCAAUUGUUGCCUCGGCGGAUCAGCCCGCUCCCGGUAAAACGGGACGGCCCGCCAGAGGACCCCUAAACUCUGUUUCUAUAUGUAACUUCUGAGUAAAACCAUAAAUAAAUCAAAACUUUCAACAACGGAUCU
RNAcentral lists this unclassified non-coding RNA (207 nucleotides) under soil metagenome. RNAcentral's name for it is "partial contains 5.8S ribosomal RNA, internal transcribed spacer 2, and large subunit ribosomal RNA". The record is from RNAcentral.